UGUUGAGAUGCUAAGAUAGGUGCGCUGUAGAUGUCCUGAGCAGUUAUGAUGAAGAAUAUUGUAUAGUUAGUACAGAAUUACUGUCUUUAUAGAAAAAGUAACACUUCUGAAACGUACUUCUUUACCUCAAAUGAAAUAUGGCAUAGGCAAAGGAUAUAGAAAAUGAAAUAAAUACAAAUUUAGAAAUGCAAAACACCGUGUUUGCGUAGUCAUGAGCCAAGAAAUCAGGGGAUAUUUAUUGGUGCAGAAAGUUAUUACCUACCAUCUGCCUCAUCCACUGUGUUUCCCAUCAUGAGCUGAUUUUGCCUUUAAUGUUUAAAAAUAGUUUUAAAGCACAUUUUUGGUUGGAGGUCUAGGUAAAUGUCUAUAGAGAGCUCAGCAUGAUAAGAUAUUAACAGUUAAAUUAAUGUGAAAUGUUAAAUCUAUGCUUGCGUAUCACUGUAAUGGAUCAGUGAGUUCAGUCACAUGCACAGCCUCCAAUGUCUUGUUAUAAUGGCAUUUACUGACUGUCAGAGGACAUCUGGGAGAGAUGAAAUAUCAUUUAGCGUUUUAUAAAUGUUACAAAAAAUAAUAAUUUUUUUCUAGCCAUUUAUUUUGUUAUGAUUUAGAGAAUAAUUUCCAAAGAAACAGGUAAAAAUGGGAAUGAAUUUUUUUUGUAAUCAUUCAUAUACAGUGUGAAAAAAGGUUGGGGUUUUGCUAUUUUUACAUGUUUUAUACAGGUUAAAUUAUCCCUUGAAGGAAAUUACUGAACUAAGUAACUGUUUGCCAUAGGCUGAAGGUACAGACAGCAUUAUAUUGUGUGGACUAAUUUAUUGCCCAUCUUUUUGUCUUUCACAGAAUAUGGAGAAAAUAUUUGUGGAAUUCAAUCAUAAAGAACUAUUUGAGUUCUAUAACAAGUUGGAAACAAUACAAAUGCAACUGGAUUCGCUGACGUGAUACUAUGCAAAGACUAAUUUCUCCAUCACAUUCCAACUGUUUUGAUACUGAAGAUAUAUCGACUGAAUAUAUUUGUUGAAAUACUCAACUGUCAAUAAAUGAUUUAGGUUUCUUUGAUCAUUCAUGUUAGAUAAAUGAAAUCAUUGUUAAGAAAGUUUUGGUUUCACAUGACUACAUCGUAUUCAACUUUAAAUGAAGCAAUGUACUAUAUUAUUGUGCAGACUUUUGAAUGAUAAAGUCUGCAGUUUUUGUGUUUUGUAUUUACAUUGUGGAUAGCAGUUUAUGUAAUACUGUAGCAUAAUAAACUUCACGUAAUCAUUAUCCAAAGUAUGCUUAAACAGUAGAAAAAGAUAAUUAAAUUGCUAAAACAUUGGCUCUCAUGCUGAUAUCUUACCCAUAAGAACAAUAGUAUUCUAACUUUGGACUAUUUUGGUUUAUUACUUAAUGCUUUUGAAUUUGCUGCCAGAUUUUCCAUCUAUGACAAAUAGCAAGGUUUGCUUGUUUUUGAAUGCUUCAGUGAUUGCUAAAAUGCUUUAAAGGACAAUUGCCCUCUCACGCAUCAAAAAGAGAAUAAUGAGAAUUUCUUAAGAAAUUCAGUUGUUUACUUGAUCAACAUUUUACCAUUUGAUUUUAUAGUUUCCCAGCUUGAAAGAAAUUAAAAUUAAAGUUAAAAAAACAAGGCCCUUUUUAGUAAAUCCAAAGCAGUGAGGAUGAGGUCCAGUGCUGCAAUGACGGCGGAAACGGUUGUUGAUGCAGAUUGUUGAUGGGCAUUUUAGGGUGCCUUAAUGCUAGGAAGCCACUGAGUUAUAAUGCACACAUUACCUUACUAAUUGGAAAAAGGAACGAACUAUGGAUAAUAUUUUGCAUUUCCUAGCUUUUCCUUGCUUUCUCAUUUUCAUUCAAAAAGUAGCUGCUGGGUACACCAAUAAGUGCAUUUAACAAUGCCAAUCAAAAGUCCUGGUAGGAGGUGUCUCUGCCAAGUGUCCUUGGUGUAAUAAUUAAUUGACAUUGCUCUGGUACAUUUACAAUAUCAUACUUAGAGUAGGAUUGAGCAAAUUUCAGAAAUCAUAUGGAAAUGUAUUGUGCCUCAGGUGAGCACAGCAGCACCUUUGUGGUAUUCAUUAGGGGAACCAACUUUUUUCCCAAGAAUUCAUGCAUCCCUUAACUGGAUCAGUAAAAGGAAAAUGCUUUUUUAAUUUGUUUACUCACAAACUCAAGUAGUUUAUUAUGGUUGUGCAGUUUACUUGGAGAAAUGCUUAAUUGAACAAUGUCAGAAACAAAAUGCCAUUCAAAUAUAAAGUGGACCCAACAGCAGGUUUAACUUCACCUCUUUGAUACAAAAAGUAACUCCCUCCAGGUCAGUGAGAGAGCAAUGUGAACAAAUACAGAGUACUUUGUACUAGGAACCGAAGGCUCUCCCUGUGAACAAGGAGCUUUGGCACACACACAAGCGGACAAUCAAAGCCAAUGGAAAAGCUGCCCAGCUGCAGCGAUCAGGCUUCUAGCACAAGGAGAAGGAGUCAUGAAAGCUAUGAAGUAUUUUUUUUUCCUCUUCAGAGCAGUGAGCAAUUUUCUUCGUGUCUUCUAUCUAGCGUCACAGUAGAUGGCAGAGCCCAGUGGAGAGAUAGUAACAAUAGAGAAACCACAUAGAUUUCAGAGUGACACAUCUAUCUUUGUUGCAAUCAUUACAGCAGUGAAGGAUAGGCAAGUUGAGGAAGCAGAUGUCUUAAUUAUAUCUUCGGGCAGGUCUCCGUCUUCUUUUGACAAAAGAUUCAGAAGGGUUUGAGGCCAAAGCUUAAAAAGUUCUGGUGGCCUUCCAGACAGGGCCUUCCAGACAGAUAGUAACUGAUGGAUUAAAGUGGAUGAUUUCUGCAACAGAGAUCUUCUAGCCAUCUCUAACCCUGCUAGGAGAUUAUCAGUGACUGUAUAAGUCACUUGCUUCCUCUUAUUAAUGUGGUGACUGGAGAACUACGGAUCAUGGACUUGAAUCUUGUCUGAAGAGAGAACCUAACAUUGUGUCUAAUUUGUUGGCUCAGGGCAAAAAGGAAAAGGAGAUCUCCAGGCACUAACGAUGUAGUAGCAACCUCUUCACCACCAAUGUCUUAGGUGUGUGUAUACACAGAUGAUAUGAGAAAAUCAUAAAAGAAUCAGCACAAAACUUUGGGCAGAAGUGGCUGCCUUGAUAUUUGAGUGAGCAGUACUUCCCUAAUGGCAUUGCUAUGACUUACAUAGCCUGUGGAUGAUUUAGUCAUUUAUAAAAAAACUGGAAAGGACUUUGGGGCAUAAAUGCCUUUGGUCCUAUUAAUGGGUAGGAGUGCAACUGAAUUAACCCCAAAGUUUUGUUUUUCUUUGCAAGUUUAUUCUAUAAAUAAACUUAAUGUAGGUCAGUGUAAAGCAGUGUAGGGUAACUGAAAAAUGUUUACAUUGUAAAACCUUUAAAGUUGUAUUUAUAGGGAGAAAGUGUAAUAUCAGAUUAUUAUGUGACUAAAUUAGAAAUUAUGAUUCAGAGAGAAAUUAGUUUGUAAUGUUCAAGUCAAGCCAUUAUUGAUUGGCACAUUAACACACACUUCUGCAACUUUCCUCUUUUGAUUGAAAAAUACCCAAACGUGCACUGCAGAAUGACUUUUUGCUUACAUUAAAAAUCAGUCUAAAUAGUAAUUUGUGCAAACUCUUAAACUCACUUCAAAUUCACCCCUGUCAAUUAGGAGUAACCUUCAGUUUUGCUUUACCUAUUUGUACACAAUAUGGAUAUGGACAAUCAUUAAGCAAAAUUAAUUUUGAGGCAUAGUUGAAAACAAGCACAAACCAUGCUGUUGAUUCAUCUAGUUUAAUUUAGCUUGGAGACUAUGAUAAACUGGUAAAUUUAUCAGAUUAUUAAACCAAUUUUCACCUUUCCAAAUUGUUCAUAAUUUUCAAGCUGUCAGGACUAGAGUCUCAUAGUUCAUGUACAUUUAGGUUAAUAUACUUUAAGAGUAUUGCAGCUCAAGACGCUAAAUUCUGUUAACAUGGCUGAUAUUUUUUUUUUUAAAAACAGGAUGUGUGGAUGGAAAUCUUACAAUAACUUAUAUUGUAGAUGCUUUAGAUAGUGGGGAUUGGUACUUCCAUAUUCCUGCAUGCUUUAGCAAUCUGUGCAGCAUUGACUAUAACGUUACUGAGGAAUAAGGGGCUAAAACAAUUUCAGAUUUCCAAAGGCUCUUAAAUGUUGAAGUAUUUAUACUGCCUGAAUGUUAAAAUAAAACAAGUCAAUACAAGA
Crotalus tigris (Tiger rattlesnake) is the source of this 4189-nucleotide long non-coding RNA. RefSeq lists it as uncharacterized. The transcript is spliced from 2 exons. The record is from RefSeq and is a predicted model, not a curated record. Lineage: Eukaryota; Metazoa; Chordata; Lepidosauria; Squamata; Viperidae.